GAAAUAAUGGGGACGAUAAUAAAACAGGGGGAAAACCCGCUGGAGAGAAGCUGAAUGGAUGAAGCUGGAGAGACGUCACUGGCAGCCGCAGCCAUGAAGACCGUGCGGUCCAGCCUCCGGCGAAUCACUUCGCCUCCAUCCUCCGAGACGCUCGCUGCUCGGUUUGGGAGAGGAGCAGAUCCCGCAGCGGCUCGCGUUCAGCGGCGUGAGAUAUUGGCCCAUGUUUCUUGGCCUUGGGUUUAAGAGGAUGGGUAGCCUUAGGGGUUGAUUGUUAUCUUUGGUUAUCUAGCUGUAUGAGUGAUGUACAUUCUUCAUAAAGCUAGAUAACCGAAAGUAACAAGAAUCCCAUUACACUCCUGGAAAGGCAUCAAGACCCAAAGUGACUCCUUUCAUCAAAAUUUUUUAAAAUACACAAGAAGAAGUUUAACUUGAGAAAAAAUGGACUGCAUUUUAAAGGAGAAUAGAUCGUUCAUCAAAUAAAGGGUACCUUACCAAAUAGAGAAAAGAUGGCAAAAGAAGACUGAAAACAGAAGAGGAGGAGGGGUUGCUGUUGAUUGUGCCCUCCCUCUCUCAUCGCCCUCUUCUGCAUCGCCUCUUCCCACCUCCUCCUCUUCUCUUUCUCCUCCACACCAUCCUCAGCAGACUGCCCCUUUUUCCUGUACAGCGAAAUGCAGCCCACGCCACCAUCUUAGAGCAACGCUGGCAUAAAAUGGAAGUGGAAAGACCAGUCACUGCAGAUAAACGUUGGUGGUCACGGGGUUCCAGAAUGGACAGAACAUACAAUGGGGAGACAGCAGGACUCCUCUUUCACGGCUUGCUGCCAUUCAGCUGAUGUAAACAAGGAUGCUGCUGUCUGUGUGCAACUUGAUGGAUCUUGUUUCCAUGUCUGUGGGACACUUUGACCCACCUGGACGUUUUGUGAAGCCCUUUUGGUGAUUUAGCUGCAAAAAUUUAAUUUUGAACAGUGGCUGUGGAAUCCUGUGACUUAGAAAGAUGAUGCAUAGCACUAUAAUGCUGCAGAUUUUUUUUAAUUCUACGAUUGAUUUUUUUUUUGCAUGUUGUAUACGUCUGUACAUAAUAUUAUACAGACAAGCAGUGUAUUUCUAUAACUAACAUAUAGGCUCUCCCUUAUCUAGGUUGCUUUCAAUUUGAGUUUUAGCCCUCGCUGAUGUUCAGUUUGAUGUUUUGUUUUAGUUGCUAGGACUCAAAAGACACGUGAAUGUGAGACCCACGACAGCAGUGAAUAAUACUGCACUGCGAUUGGACAGCUCCGUGUGUCGGCUGACACAAUGGCGAAGGAGAGAGCUGUCGUCUUUAUACUCUAUGCAACUGUUCUGUCUGUUUUGGUUUUGUUUUGGGCAGAGCCUUUUUUAUCUACACUUUGGAUUUUUCUUUAUGGGCUAACAAUUAAUGGACAUUCCUUCAUACAUUAUCAAGACAAAUUGUGUUUUAUCCAGAAGCGUACGUUCCUAAUUUUUAUAUGUAAAAACUGGAAUUAGAGGAGGUGUGUGUCAUAUUUGAUUGGUAAUUAUAUUUUAAAGCCUGGAAAAAUAUCUUUGUGAAUAAAUGUGGAAUCAAAUAUAUAAUAUUCCUGAUGGCAGUAGUGUGUUUGAUCAGGAGGAAGUGAAACAUUGCUGCUGUGUGUAUGUUUCCUCUGAGGCACAUUAGUUUGCCUCAUAACAGUUACCUGUGCUGCUGUAAUGAUACAUCUUUGGGUAAGACAUGACAAAUACAUUGGCUUCAAACACUGCCUUAAUUUCCUGUUCACACACAAAUGCACACACACAGAUCCCAGUGCAAUAACACAAGUACCAUUGCAGCUUAAUUCAUUUUAUAUUAAUUUUCGGAAAGUGGAUUUUUUUUUUUAUUAUGAUUGAUAAUCUAUGCAAAUCUUUUAAAGUAUUACUUUAAACAAUCUAUGCACUGCUCUUCUGCUCUUGCAUUUGAUUCAAGGGAGACUGUCUUGGCCUAAUUUAGAAAAUGUAUUCUUUUGAUAAUCAUGCACAUCCCAGUGCUCGAGACAAUUACUUAUCUGCCUGGAUAAGCUUGAAAUUAUGUUUUUAAUCUUUUGCAAAAAAAAGUCUCUCUUCUAAUAUCAGUUGAGAGGCAUAAAAACCAUGAUUUCUGGUGUGAAAUAAUUAAAUCACUAUCACUUAAUAUCCUUGCUUUUUUUUAAAUGCAAAUGUAAUUUAUCUGUUUAGCUUUGUCUGCUUAUUAGCUUAUUUUUUUUUAGAAGAUGUAUGUUUGUAUUAUGCAACUUGUGUAUAAGUGCUCACCACAUGUGCCUUUGUAUGCAAAUCUGUAUUAGAAUAGUAAUAAAGGUUUACAUUGAAAACAAUGAAAA
Long non-coding RNA from Xiphophorus hellerii (green swordtail), 2344 nucleotides. RefSeq lists it as uncharacterized. The record is from RefSeq and is a predicted model, not a curated record. The transcript is spliced from 4 exons. NCBI's taxonomy places the organism in Eukaryota, Metazoa, Chordata, Actinopteri, Cyprinodontiformes, Poeciliidae.